GCCUGGGUGGCUCAGUCGGUUGAGCGUCCGACUUUGGCUCAGGUCAUGAUCUCACGGUUUGUGGGUUCAAGCCCCUCAUCGGGCU
This 85-nucleotide transfer RNA is filed under the name Felis catus (domestic cat). It matches the Rfam family "tRNA". Rfam says of the family: Transfer RNA (tRNA) molecules are approximately 80 nucleotides in length. Their secondary structure includes four short double-helical elements and three loops (D, anti-codon, and T loops). Further hydrogen bonds mediate the characteristic L-shaped molecular structure. tRNAs have two regions of fundamental functional importance: the anti-codon, which is responsible for specific mRNA codon recognition, and the 3' end, to which the tRNAs corresponding amino acid is attached (by aminoacyl-tRNA synthetases). tRNAs cope with the degeneracy of the genetic code in two manners: having more than one tRNA (with a specific anti-codon) for a particular amino acid; and 'wobble' base-pairing, i.e. permitting non-standard base-pairing at the 3rd anti-codon position. Lineage: Eukaryota; Metazoa; Chordata; Mammalia; Carnivora; Felidae. The record is from Rfam by way of RNAcentral.